UAGGGAAUCUUCCGCAAUGGGCGAAAGCCUGACGGAGCAACGCCGCGUGAGUGAAGAAGGAUUUCGGUUCGUAAAGCUCUGUUGUUAGGGAAGAAUGAUUGUGUAGUAACUAUACACAGUAGAGACGGUACCUAACCAGAAAGCCACGGCUAACUACGUGCCAGCAGCCGCGGUAAUACGUAGGUGGCAAGCGUUGUCCGGAAUUAUUGGGCGUAAAGCGCGCGCAGGUGGUUUAAUAAGUCUGAUGUGAAAGCCCACGGCUCAACCGUGGAGGGUCAUUGGAAACUGUUAAACUUGAGUGCAGGAGAGAAAAGUGGAAUUCCUAGUGUAGCGGUGAAAUGCGUAGAGAUUAGGAGGAACACCAGUGGCGAAGGCGGCUUUUUGGCCUGUAACUGACACUGAGGCGCGAAAGCGUGGGGAGCAAACAGGAUUAGAUACCCUGGUA
This 445-nucleotide ribosomal RNA is filed under the name uncultured bacterium. RNAcentral's name for it is "bacterial SSU rRNA". It matches the Rfam family "Bacterial small subunit ribosomal RNA", at positions 355 to 792 of the family's 1533-position model. The record is from RNAcentral.